CCUGUUCCAAAGCCCCCAGGAGAUCUUCCUAUCCUUACUACCAUGUAAGUGAAUCAGGCACCUACUCAGAUUUAAAAAUCUCAUCCUCCACAUUACUCACAAAGCAACUUAAAGAAAGGUCCCUUCCUGCCCUCUGGACUACACCACACCAUGCCAGCUUUGCAAAAUGGAAAGCUAGCAAGUGGACUGCAAACAUUUUCUCGAGGCAGAUGGAUGUGUCAGUAGUGACAGCUGCUGUUGAGCAAUUCCAAAGCGCUGCGUCUUUAUUCACUAAACUGGAGCUAGAGAAACUUCAGCUGAGGCAUUUCCCCCAAGGCGAGACAGUGGAGUUCCUGGGAAAUUGAGUCCAGAAAUAAAUCCAUCCAGCGUGAUCGGUUCAA
Molecule: non-coding RNA, 380 nt
Organism: Phasianus colchicus (ring-necked pheasant)
Lineage: Eukaryota; Metazoa; Chordata; Aves; Galliformes; Phasianidae
Source: RefSeq, a predicted model, not a curated record